NNNNNNNNNNNNNNNNNNNNNNNNNNNCCCCACGGUGACCCGCGGCUCCUGGGUCCGGACUCAGAGCACUUGCCGUCGCCUUAGCGCUGUCAGCCCGCGGCGGGGGAAAGCACUUGGUUAAGAGCGAAAGUUGGGCGUCGGGGCUUUGCGUCUCGUUGGUGCCCAGAUUAGUUAGGUCCCUGGGUGCUUUGACCAAACCAGGAGGAGAGAGGCCAAGUCAAGCGACCAAGCAGGGAUGGGCCCAGGAUCCAGAUGGUCAGCCUCUCACUUGGGUAGCCCCUAUAGUCCAGGUUCCAGGACUCUGGGAACACAGCUGGAAACUCAGUGCAGAGUAGUAAGUGCUGGCACAGGGGACUCAACCCACUAAGGAUGGCACGGCUCAUGUCCCUCAUGCCGGAAGCAAAGGACAGCCCCUCAAGAGCUGGGACCCGGUCACAACCAUCACACUGAGCAGGUGCUCAGGACAGGUCUGAAUGGAUCAUUCUUAUAGGAACUGUAAUAAGCCAAUCCAGACAAGGCUCUUCUCCUAAUCCAUAUGCACUUUGACCCUGACUCGGGCCGCAGACUGAAUCAGCCCUAACCUCACCACCUGGUAAUGUUGCUUACUGUGUUUGAGCCGCAGUUUCCCUGUGCUCUAUCCAAAUGGGAACAAAAGUAUCUCCUUCUUGGAUUGUAAGGAUUAAAAUAACGAACAGAAAGUGCCCAGUACAGAGCCUGGUGUGUAGCAUUCAACAAAUGUAAUCAAUAGAAGUAUUAUGAUUGCCACUAAGAAUUGGGAGGACAGGCCCUGAUGAGGCAAACUGUCUGAAAGCCUAUGAAGGAGGAGGAAAGAGUGAAAUGCCCAGAGAAACCAGGGAAACCAGAGGGCAGCGGAAAAGACUAAUAGCACCUCAGCGGGACCACAGCUCCCAAAGGAAAAUCACAAUGAGACCGAGGGUCCUGGAAGGAGCAGAGGCCCGAUCAGAGGAGACUAGGAAUGUGUGUGAAGAUCGAGUUCCGCUGGAGAAGCAUUGGGAGACUGCUAGAGCAGUUCACAUCUUCCCAAAGGGAGAAGAGGCGGGAUUGUGGACGACAGCAGGUCGGGCUCCUGAGAAGCUGAGCUUGAGAAGAGCUGCCCCUGUGAGACUGGUUUUUUGAGGAAAUGCCCGCUGGGGAAACUGGAGAGGGUGUUGUAGGCCAAAGAAGACAAGAAAGC
Mustela putorius furo (domestic ferret) is the source of this 1195-nucleotide long non-coding RNA. Ensembl lists it as uncharacterized. The record is from Ensembl. Lineage: Eukaryota; Metazoa; Chordata; Mammalia; Carnivora; Mustelidae.